This 899-nucleotide ribosomal RNA is filed under the name Colletotrichum fructicola. RNAcentral's name for it is "LSU rRNA". It matches the Rfam family "Eukaryotic large subunit ribosomal RNA", at positions 35 to 965 of the family's 3401-position model. The record is from RNAcentral. Lineage: Eukaryota; Fungi; Ascomycota; Sordariomycetes; Glomerellales; Glomerellaceae.
UAAGCAUAUCAAUAAGCGGAGGAAAAGAAACCAACAGGGAUUGCCUCAGUAACGGCGAGUGAAGCGGCAACAGCUCAAAUUUGAAAUCUGGCCCUAGGCCCGAGUUGUAAUUUGCAGAGGAUGCUUUUGGUGCGGUGCCUUCCAAGUUCCCUAGAACGGGACGCCAGAGAGGGUGAGAGCCCCGUACAGUUGGACACCAAGCCUUUGUAAAGCUCCUUCGACGAGUCGAGUAGUUUGGGAAUGCUGCUCAAAAUGGGAGGUAUAUUUCUUCUAAAGCUAAAUACCGGCCAGAGACCGAUAGCGCACAAGUAGAGUGAUCGAAAGAUGAAAAGCACUUUGAAAAGAGGGUUAAACAGCACGUGAAAUUGUUAAAAGGGAAGCGCUUGUGACCAGACUUGCGUCCGGUGAAUCACCCAGCUCUCGCGGCUGGGGCACUUCGCCGGCUCAGGCCAGCAUCAGCUCGCUGUCGGGGACAAAAGCUUCAGGAACGUAGCUCUCUUCGGGGAGUGUUAUAGCCUGUUGCACAAUACCCUUCGGCGGGCUGAGGUACGCGCUCCGCAAGGAUGCUGGCAUAAUGGUCAUCAGCGACCCGUCUUGAAACACGGACCAAGGAGUCAACCUUAUGUGCGAGUGUUCGGGUGUCAAACCCCUACGCGUAAUGAAAGUGAACGCAGGUGAGAGCUUCGGCGCAUCAUCGACCGAUCCUGAUGUUCUCGGAUGGAUUUGAGUAAGAGCAUAUAGGGUUGGACCCGAAAGAAGGUGAACUAUGCGUGUAUAGGGUGAAGCCAGAGGAAACUCUGGUGGAGGCUCGCAGCGGUUCUGACGUGCAAAUCGAUCGUCAAAUAUGCGCAUGGGGGCGAAAGACUAAUCGAACCUUCUAGUAGCUGGUUUCCGCCGAA